Molecule: small nucleolar RNA, 132 nt
Organism: Mastomys coucha (southern multimammate mouse)
Lineage: Eukaryota; Metazoa; Chordata; Mammalia; Rodentia; Muridae
Product: small nucleolar RNA SNORA17
Exons: 1
Source: RefSeq, a predicted model, not a curated record
CCUGCCCCUAGAGGCAUUGCAGAUAUGACUGAUAAGUCACAUGUAUGUCAGUAGGUGAAAAGAGAAAAGAGGCUAUGUCUAUGCAUGGUGUUCUGACAAUAGAGACAUCUGAGUGAUUACUAGCCUAACAUU